Molecule: small nucleolar RNA, 83 nt
Organism: Pseudophryne corroboree (corroboree frog)
Lineage: Eukaryota; Metazoa; Chordata; Amphibia; Anura; Myobatrachidae
Product: small nucleolar RNA SNORD100
Exons: 1
Source: RefSeq, a predicted model, not a curated record
GCUGUACAUGAUGAAAAUGUGGCUCCCUCUACUGAAUAUUAUGAGAAAAGCCUAAUUGUUACCUGAAUGUUCUGAGUCACAGC